GGGAAAACACGAAAAUCUCGUUUUUACUCAUUUCACCCCUUUUUGUGCCACCUCGUGGUUUUUUGGGGGGUGGGAAAAUCCUGGGGACCCCCAAAAACAGCUGGGGAGGGGGUGAAGUUUGGGGACCCCCCCCAAAAAAGCAACCAAGAUUUGGGGACCCCCCUGAGCCGUGCCUGACUUGAUGGAACGGUGCCCUGGGCAGGGUAAAAAUUGGGGAAAAUGGGGAAAAAAUGGGAAUUUAGGGGGAAAAAAUGGGGGAAAUAGGAAAAAAAUGGGAAUUUAGGGGGAAAAAAUGGGAAAAUGGGAAUUUGGGGUAAAAAUGAGGAAAAAAAUGGGAAUUGGGAGGGUAAAAAUGAGGGAAAAUUGAAUUGGAUAAGAAUGGGGAAAAAUGGAAAAUUGGGGGUAAAAAAUGGGGGAAAAUGGGAAUUGGGGGGAAAAAUGGGGAAAUGGGGAAUGGGGGGGGAAAUGAGAAAAAAGGGAAGGGGGUAAAAAUAAGGUAGAAAUGGGAAUUAGGGGGUAAAAAAUGGGAAAUGGGAAUUGCGGGGUAAAAAUGGAAAAUGGGAACUGGGUAAAAAAUGGGGAAAAUGGGAAAUAAAAAAGAGGAAAAAUGGGAAUUGAGAGGUAAAAAAUGAGAAAAAAAAUGGGAAUUGGGUAAAAAAUGUGGUAAAACUGGGAAUUGGGAGCAAGGGAAAAAAAUGAGGAUAUGGGUAAAAAAAAAUGAGAAUUGGGUGGGGAAAAAUAGAAAAAACUUUGGGGAUUCCCCCAAAAAAAACCCCCAGGACCAAACCGAGCCCACCCCAAGCUCCUGGGACACCCCAAAACCCAACCAGGGCAAAAAUGUGACCCCAAAUCCCCCCAAAAACCCAAACGGUGCCAGCAGGGAAGAACAAAAACCUUUUUUAUUUCACCCAAAAGCAGCCGGGCCUCGCCCCAUCCUCGGGAUUUUGGGGUUCCCCGUGGGUUUUGGGGUUCCCCGCGGGUUUUGGGGUUCCCUGUGGAUUUUGGAGUUCCCCACGGCUGCUCCCGGGGAUUUUUGGGGUUCCCCGUGGGUUUUAGGGUCCCCCAGCUGCUGUUUUUGGGGUUCAGACUGCAGGGCCCUCCUGUGGGGUUUUGGGGGGCUCCCCACGGGUUUGGGGUCCCUUUUCGGGGUUCAGGCUGCAGGGCCCUCCUGCGGGUUAUUUUUGGAGUUCCCGGUGGAUUUUGGGGUCCCCCG
RNAcentral lists this long non-coding RNA (1213 nucleotides) under Chloebia gouldiae (Gouldian finch). Its description in RNAcentral is "Erythrura gouldiae (Gouldian finch) lncRNA (ENSEGOG00005018267.1)". Lineage: Eukaryota; Metazoa; Chordata; Aves; Passeriformes; Passeridae. The record is from RNAcentral.